CAGAAAUUGAAGAGGAACUAAAGAGCCUAAAGGUGAAGGAGGAGAGUGCAAAAGUUGGCUUGAAACUCAACAUUAAGAAAACUAAGAUCUAGACUAAGCUACUGAAUAAAUGAAUAGAAUUUUUUUUUUAUUGGCCAAGUGUGAUUGGACACACAAGGAAUUUAUUUUGGUGCAUACGCUCUCAGUGUACAUAAAAGAAAAAGGAAAAAAACUACAUCAAAGUGAAAAGAAGGACCAGGAUGGCAUGAUAGCACUGUUCCAAUAUAUGAGGGGCUGCCAACUAAACAGGGAGAAACCUCCUGACAGUGAGAACAAUUAACCAGUGGAAUGGCUUCCCUUCAGAAUUUGUGGGUGUUCCAUGACUAGAAGCUUUUAAGAAGAUACAAGGAUUACUGGCCUUGCCUAUCCCAGUGAUUAUUCAAGAUCAUAUUGGGUGUUAGAAAGGACGAACCAGC
Long non-coding RNA from Ahaetulla prasina, 455 nucleotides. RefSeq lists it as uncharacterized. The record is from RefSeq and is a predicted model, not a curated record. The transcript is spliced from 4 exons. NCBI's taxonomy places the organism in Eukaryota, Metazoa, Chordata, Lepidosauria, Squamata, Colubridae.